Molecule: long non-coding RNA, 1606 nt
Filed under: Phasianus colchicus (ring-necked pheasant)
Lineage: Eukaryota; Metazoa; Chordata; Aves; Galliformes; Phasianidae
Description: lncRNA (ENSPCLG00000020274.1)
Source: RNAcentral
CCAUCCCCCCCCCCGCUCACACUGCACAUCCAGGAUGUACUGCGUCUGCCUGCGCUGCCCGGGCAGGGCGGGAUGCGUGGCCUCGCAGGUGACGAUGGCGCCGUGGUCGCGACGCUCGACGCGGAAACGCACGACGCUGCGCAGGCUGAACACCUUGCCGUGCGCCUCCCGCAGCACAGAGCCUGCAGGGGGGGCACGGGGGGGGGCUGGGGGGUCUCUAUGGGGCUCUAUGGGGUCUCUAUGGGGUCUAAGGAGUUUUUAUGGGGGCUCUAUGGGGUCUCAAUGGAGUCUGGGAGGCUCCACAGGGUCUGGGGGCACUGUAGGAGUCUCUAUGGGGCUGGAAGUGCUCCAUAGGGGCUGGGGGGUCUCUAUGGGGCUCUAUGGAGUAUCUAUGGGGUCUGGGAGAUUGUUAUGGGGCUCUAUGUGGUCUCUAUGGGGCUCUAUGGGGUUCUAAGAGUCUCUAUGUGGUUCUAUGGGGUCUCCAUGGGGUCUCUAUGGGGUCUGGGAGGGCUCUAUGGAGCCUAAGGACUUUCUAUGGGCCUCUAUGGGGUCUCUAUGGGGCUCCAUGUAAUCUGGGGGGCUCUAUGAAUCUCCAUGGGGUCUCUAUGGGGCUCCAUGAGAUCUGGUUGGCUCUAGUAGUCUCUACGGGGCGUCUAUGGGGUCUGGGAGAUCACUAUGGAUCUCUACGGGGUCUCUAUGGGGCUCUAAGAGUCUCUAUGGGGCUCUCGGGGGUUGGGGGGGCACUAGGAGUCUCUCUCAGGUCUUUAUGGGGCUCUACGGGGUCUCUAUGGGGUCUGAGAAGUUUCUAUGGGACUCUCUAGGGUCUGGGGGGUCUCUAUGGAGCCCUAUGGAAUCUGUGGGCCUCUGGGAGUCUCUAUUGGGCUCUAUGGAGUCUCUAUAGAAUCUGGGGGGUUUCUACGGGGCUCUAUGGGGUCUGGGGGGUUCCAUGGGUCCCUAUAGGGUCUCUAUGGUGUCCCUAUGGGUCUCUAUGGAGCUCUGGGAAUCCCUAUAGGUCUCUAAGGGGAUCCUGGAUCCCUAUGGGUCUCUACAGGGUCCCUAUGGGAUUUCUAUGCGUCUUUAUACAUCCCCGUGGGUCCCUACAGGAUCUCAAUAGGUCUCUAUGGGUCCCUAUAGAUCUCUACAGGGUCCCUACAGAAUCUAUAUGCACCUUUAUGUACCCUUAUGAGCCCCUGUAAGUCUCUCUGCGUUCCUAUGGAUCUCUAUGGCACCUCAAUGGGUCUCCACGGGUCCCUAUGGCGUCUCUAUGGCUGUCCAUGGGGUCCCUAUGGGGUCUCAAUGGCUCCCCACGGUGCCCCGGUCCCACCCACGUCCCCCCCCCGUCCCGCCCCUCACCGUGGAUCUCCCUCCUGUCCCGGUACCACCGCAGCGUCGCCGGAGGCCUCGAGCGCGGCACGGCGCAGCUCAGCUCCACCUCGGCGCCCUCCACCGCCGCCUCCGCCGCCUCCACCACGGGGCUGUCCGGCGGCACUGCGCCACGUGACCGCGCGUCCGUCCCGUGCGCCACGUGACUUCGCGCCCCACAUGACUCGCGCCUCACGUGACCCCGCCUCCGUCCCGUGCGCCACGCGGCUUCGUGCGCCACGUG